CGAUAGUGAAACAGUACCGUGAGGGAAAGGUGAAAAGAACCCCGGGAGGGGAGUGAAAAGAACAUGAAACCAUAAACUUACAAGCAGUAGGAGGACGACUAAAACGUCUGACUGCGUGCCUGUUGAAGAAUGAGCCGGCGACUUAUAGUUAGUGGCAGGUUAAAGUAGUGAAUACUGAAGCCACAGUGAAAGCGAGCCUGAAUAGGGCGUUUGUCACUAGUUAUAGACCCGAACCCGGAUGAUCUAACCAUGGUCAGGUUGAAGCUCAGGUAAUACUGAGUGGAGGACCGAACCGACUGAUGUUGAAAAAUCAGCGGAUGAGUUGUGGUUAGGGGUGAAAUGCCAAUCGAAUUCGGAGCUAGCUGGUUCUCCCCGAAAUGCGUUUUGGCGCAGCGGUGAAUGUUAUAAUUUAGGGGUAAAGCACUGUUACGUAUGCGGGCUGGUAAUUCGGUACCAAAUCGUUGCAAACUAAGAAUACUAAAUGUACAGUUCACCAGUAAGACUGUGGGGGAUAAGCUCCAUUGUCAAGAGGGAAACAGCCCAGAGCACCAGUUAAGGCCCUUAAAUAAUUACUAAGUGGUAAAGGAGGUGGGAGUGCAUAGACAAUCAGGAGGUUUGCUUAGAAGCAGCAAUCCUUUAAAGAGUGCGUAAUAGCUCACUGAUCGAGUAAACCUGCGCCGAAAAUGUAUGGGACUAAGUAAUUUGCCGAAACUGUGCGAUAUAUAUUUAUAUAUCGGUAGGGGAGCGUUCUGUUGUAGGUCGAAGUAUUAGCGUAAGCGGAUAUGGACGAAGCAGAAGUGAGAAUGUCGGCUUGAGUAACGAAAAUAUAGGUGAGAAUCCUAUACCCCGAAAACCCAAGGUUUCCUCCGGAAGGCUCGUCCGCGGAGGGUAAGUCAGGACCUAAGGCGAGGCUGAAAAGCGUAGUCGAUGGACAACGGGUUAAUAUUCCCGUACCGUUUUUUAUUGAUAUCGAGGGACGGAGAAGGCUAAGCUAGCCGGAUAUUGGUUUUACCGGUUUAAACGUUCGAGAUGUUGAGAAGCGGAGAAAACGCUUUGAGUUGAGACGUGAGUACGAGACGCUAAGGCGUCGAAGUAGUGUAUGUCAUACUUCCAAGAAAAGCUUGCACUGUCAUAAAUAAAAAAUGCCUGUACCAUAACCGACACAGGUGGGUAGGUAGAGUAUACUAAGGGGCGCGAGAUAACUCUCUCUAAGGAACUCGGCAAAAUAACUCCGUAACUUCGGGAGAAGGAGUGCCUUAUUUAUAAGGUUGCAAUAACAAGAUCCAAGCAACUGUUUAUCAAAAACACAGGUCUCCGCUAAGUCGUAAGACGAUGUAUGGGGGCUGACGCCUGCCCAGUGCCAGAAGGUUAAAGAAGUUGGUUAGCAUUUGCGAAGCUGAUAACUGAAGCCCUGGUGAACGGCGGCCGUAACUAUAACGGUCCUAAGGUAGCGA
Molecule: ribosomal RNA, 1454 nt
Filed under: Thalassiosira minuscula
Lineage: Eukaryota; Bacillariophyta; Thalassiosirophyceae; Thalassiosirales; Thalassiosiraceae
Description: partial Bacterial large subunit ribosomal RNA
Rfam family: Bacterial large subunit ribosomal RNA
Source: RNAcentral